UACAGAGGGGGCAAGCGUUGUUCGGAAUUACUGGGCGUAAAGGGCGCGUAGGCGGUUUACCAAGUCAGGCGUGAAAGGCCUGGGCUCAACCCGGGAACUGCGCUUGAUACUUGUAGACUUGAGUCCGGGAGAGGAUGGCGGAAUUCCCAGUGUAGAGGUGAAAUUCGUAGAUAUUGGGAAGAACACCGGUGGCGAAGGCGGCCAUCUGGACCGGAACUGACGCUGAGGCGCGAAAGCGUGGGGAGCAAACAGG
Molecule: ribosomal RNA, 253 nt
Filed under: uncultured bacterium
Lineage: Bacteria
Description: partial 16S ribosomal RNA
Rfam family: Bacterial small subunit ribosomal RNA
Source: RNAcentral